CAUUUCAAAGUUAGGUUUAAGGAGGUUGAAAUAUUAUGUGACAUUUCUAUUUAUUUUUAACUUCAGAAAGUCGGCUUGAUUCUCAUAUUGCCGUCGUAUCCCAUUAUUGCCGCCGUAGUAAACUAUUCUAAAAUGUCCUUGUCCAAAUACUAAAAAUAAUCUGUAUAAUUGAUUUUACUCAUAUCCAAAUCGAUAUUUAAAAUUUCCACUUAAAUAUUCUAUCUUAAGGUUAUAAAACUUUGAAAACAUAAAACUCGUAUUGUUAUAUUUGCAUGUAGCUUUGAUAUAAAGCCAGAUCAACAUACUAAUAUAAUACCAAGUUUUUAGUUCUUAAUACCAGGGUGAGAUGACAUAAGUCUGAUUUGUCAUAACUUGGAAUUAUGGGUUUUCAAUGCUCGUCUACUUCGUUAUUGAUUUGGCAUUCCGCGUCCGUAUUAAAUCGAGUGCAAAUGACACAUCUUAUGUAGAUGCACGUUUGGUACCCACAGUAUUGCAUUUUAUCUUACCUCCUAUACAUUACUAGGAAUAUGAUUGAUUAAAGCAUCCGCGUGGAGACCGUGUAUAUUCCAUAUUAGGUUAGUAGGGAGACGAGGCUUAUUUCAAUACACGGUAGUGAUUGAGUUACGACUUUGGCACUGUUUAAUUAUUUAAAAGAAUUGAAACUUCUGUUUAAUAUUGUUAUAUCAAUGUUGUUGAUAAUAAAUAGUUAUGUUGUAC
This 717-nucleotide long non-coding RNA is filed under the name Mytilus galloprovincialis (Mediterranean mussel). Lineage: Eukaryota; Metazoa; Mollusca; Bivalvia; Mytilida; Mytilidae. The record is from RNAcentral.